Molecule: transfer RNA, 50 nt
Filed under: Nesiota elliptica
Lineage: Eukaryota; Viridiplantae; Streptophyta; Magnoliopsida; Rosales; Rhamnaceae
Also listed under: 1 other name
Description: partial tRNA-Leu
Source: RNAcentral
UCGACGGAUUUUCCUCUUACUAUAAAUUUCAUUGUUGUCGAUAUUGACAU